GAUCUCUAAGCCCUGUGGCCUCACCUAACAGUUAUUGGCAUAUUUCUUUGUUAAGUCUGACCCACCGUUCACCAGCGAGUGCAAAGUCGUCAUUGAGUCCCUCACCUAAUAGUUAUUAGGCUCAACCCCAUCUUUAUCCCGAGGCAUCUAAUGCCAAUAGAGUGAUUGUGCCUUUCUUAUUCAACCAAACCACUAUUACCAGUGGAGAACGAUCAAUGUCAGAAAAGGCACCCGCAUCUCUACAACGAUGGAAGAUCAAAGACUUAAUAUUUAGUGAGGAGAUUUGUAUUCAGAUCUCUUUUAAUUAGUCACAUACAUCUGAUGUAAUGACUAAUAUGGUUUGGAUCAGC
Molecule: long non-coding RNA, 350 nt
Filed under: Elaeis guineensis (African oil palm)
Lineage: Eukaryota; Viridiplantae; Streptophyta; Magnoliopsida; Arecales; Arecaceae
Description: long non-coding RNA (EGUI_LNC077159)
Source: RNAcentral